This 395-nucleotide ribosomal RNA is filed under the name Fusarium poae. RNAcentral's name for it is "eukaryotic LSU rRNA". The stretch from base 28 to 181 matches the Rfam family "5.8S ribosomal RNA". The record is from RNAcentral. Lineage: Eukaryota; Fungi; Ascomycota; Sordariomycetes; Hypocreales; Nectriaceae.
UUCUGAGUAAAAAAACAAAUAAAUCAAAACUUUCAACAACGGAUCUCUUGGUUCUGGCAUCGAUGAAGAACGCAGCAAAAUGCGAUAAGUAAUGUGAAUUGCAGAAUUCAGUGAAUCAUCGAAUCUUUGAACGCACAUUGCGCCCGCCAGUAUUCUGGCGGGCAUGCCUGUUCGAGCGUCAUUUCAACCCUCAAGCCCAGCUUGGUGUUGGGAAUUGUUUGUCACAGAACAUUCCCCAAAUUGAUUGGCGGUCACGUCGAGCUUCCAUAGCGUAGUAAUUUACACAUCGUUACUGGUAAUCGUCGCGGCCACGCCGUUAAACCCCAACUUCUGAAUGUUGACCUCGGAUCAGGUAGGAAUACCCGCUGAACUUAAGCAUAUCAAUAAGCGGAGGA